RNAcentral lists this long non-coding RNA (2195 nucleotides) under Chlamydomonas reinhardtii. Its description in RNAcentral is "long non-coding RNA (CREI_LNC000042)". The record is from RNAcentral. Lineage: Eukaryota; Viridiplantae; Chlorophyta; Chlorophyceae; Chlamydomonadales; Chlamydomonadaceae.
AAGCAGCCGCAGCAGGAGUAGCCGAAACUGUCGCAGUCACGCCCGCCUUCUUCGGCGCGUGCAAGCCCUCCAGCACCACCUUCACCUUGCCGUACACAUCGUCCGGAGCCGCCACAGCGCUGAUCACGUGGCACUUGCCCUGCGUAAGGUAGUGGUCCUUCACAGGCAGCGACUGAUCCAGGAAGGUGCGGAAGCGCUUGCGAAUGGUGUCGGCGUUGUCGUCGCUGCGGCCGCUGGUCUCCCCGCGCUUCAGCAGGCGCUUCUCCAUCUCCUCCUCCGGGCAGUCGAAGAACAGCACCGUCUUGCACGGCAUGAUGCUGCUCUCAAACUGCGCCGCCUGGUCCAGCGCGCGCGGAAAGCCGUCGAUGAGGAAGAACUUGCCGCCGCUGGCUAUCAUGUCCCGCUUCAGCAGGUUAAGCGUGACAGCCACCGGCACGAGCUUGCCCUCCUUCAUCAGCGCCUCGCACUUCUGGCCGACCUCGCUGCCGCUCUUCACCUCAGCGCGCAGCAGGUCGCCGGCGCUGAGGUGCACGCACUCGUAGUCGGCCUUAAUCUUGUCGCAUUGCGUCCCCUUGCCGCUGCCGGGGCCGCCGAGCACGAACACGAUCUGGGCGUCGGCAGGCAGGUUGCCGGGCACAGGUGGCAGCGCGAUGUCCUGCAUAAAAGCAACCAAGGGAACAAACGUGCAAUCAUAAGGUGUUGGCUGUGGCGCCGACCAUGACCCAGUGCCCUUGUACACAAAGCAAUGGGGCGUGCCGUACGCGCCGCACACACAGAACAGCGGUUUGGUGGCUGGAAACAUAAGAUGCGGCACGGUAUCCCUAUCUGCAGGUCGGCUUCUCAAGUGUUCAACUUAGGCAAGACGCACCUCCGAAGCAGCCGGGGCCGCUGCAAGUGCCGUCGCCGCUGCGCUCGCCUUCUUCGGCGCGUGCAAGCCCUCCAGCACCACCUUCACCUUGCCGUACACAUCGUCCGGAGCCGCCACAGCGCUGAUCACGUGGCACUUGCCCUGCGUAAGGUAGUGGUCCUUCACGGGCAGCGACUGAUCCAGGAAGGUGUGGAAGCGCUUGCGAAUGGUGUCGGCGUUGUCGUCGCUGCGGCCGCUGGUCUCCCCGCGCUUCAGCAGGCGCUUCUCCAUCUCCUCCUCCGGGCAGUCAAAGAACAGCACCGUCUUGCACGGCAUGAUGCUGCUCUCAAACUGCUCCGCCUGGUCCAGCGCGCGUGGAAAGCCGUCGAUGAGGAAGAACUUGCCGCCGCUGGCUAUCAUGUCCCGCUUCAGCAGGUUGAGCGUGACAGCCACCGGCACGAGCUUGCCCUCCUUCAUCAGCGCCUCGCACUUCUGGCCAACCUCGCUGCCGCUCUUCACCUCAGCGCGCAGCAGGUCGCCGGCGCUGAGGUGCACGCACUCAUACUCCUCCUUGAUCUGAUCGCAUUGCGUGCCCUUGCCGCUGCCGGGGCCGCCGAGCACGAACACGAUCUGGGCGUCGGCAGGCAGGCUGCCGGGCACGGGCGGCAGCGCAAACUCCUGCAUAGGGACGAAAAUGCAAUGGAAAUCAGCAAGCCGAGAUUAAUAAUCAGUGGAAACUUACGCAUCAGUACACUUGCACUUCAGUACGCAUCCUACUACCGGGAGGAUACGGUAAGGCAGGCAGGCAGAGGCCAUCGAUUUCACGCUUGCCCCAGCUUUCCGUACGAUGUACCGUAUGCUAGGUUGCUUGACCGGAACCCGUGCAAGACGCACACGGAUAUACCACCGGUGAACAGCCAUGACCGCUCACCUCCAAAGCAGCCGCAGCAGGAGUAGCCGAAACUGUCGCAGUCACGCCCGCCUUCUUCGGCGCGUGCAAGCCCUCCAGCACCACCUUCACCUUGCCGUACACAUCGUCCGGAGCCGCCACAGCGCUGAUCACGUGGCACUUGCCCUGCGUAAGGUAGUGGUCCUUCACAGGCAGCGACUGAUCCAGGAAGGUGCGGAAGCGCUUGCGAAUGGUGUCGGCGUUGUCGUCGCUGCGGCCGCUGGUCUCCCCGCGCUUCAGCAGGCGCUUCUCCAUCUCCUCCUCCGGGCAGUCGAAGAACAGCACCGUCUUGCACGGCAUGAUGCUGCUCUCAAACUGCGCCGCCUGGUCCAGCGCGCGCGGAAAGCCGUCGAUGAGGAAGAACUUGCCGCCGCUGGCUAUCAUGUCCCGCUUCAGCAG